Schistocerca serialis cubense is the source of this 348-nucleotide long non-coding RNA. RefSeq lists it as uncharacterized. Lineage: Eukaryota; Metazoa; Arthropoda; Insecta; Orthoptera; Acrididae. The record is from RefSeq and is a predicted model, not a curated record. The transcript is spliced from 2 exons.
GACAGCAACAACUCACUGUUCAGCUUGGACCUUCCACAGCCCCUGACACUUUGCGAGGUCCUUCCAUUGCUAAAGUCCUUUCGCCUGGACCUUCUGAUUCCCAAGAAACAUUGCCUACGCUGCCAACAGCCAACCAGAGAUGAGUAAAAAUACUGUGCACAUGACAUCAGUGGAGAUGAAGAAUUUAUUCAAAGUGAUGACCCAAUUGUGGACCCAAAAUUCACUUAUUUCAUGACACAUGUACAUUGCUACUUACUGAUUUUGUGUUCAUCUUUCUAUUCAGUGUCACGAACUUCAAAUUUUGUGAAAAUAACCUGUUAAUGUUUUCAUUAAAAAACUUUCCCAUCA